This 392-nucleotide ribosomal RNA is filed under the name uncultured Gammaproteobacteria bacterium. RNAcentral describes it as "bacterial SSU rRNA". It matches the Rfam family "Bacterial small subunit ribosomal RNA", at positions 370 to 779 of the family's 1533-position model. The record is from RNAcentral. Lineage: Bacteria; Pseudomonadati; Pseudomonadota; Gammaproteobacteria.
AAUGGGGGCAACCCUGAUCCAGCCAUGCCGCGUGAGUGAAGAAGGCCCUAGGGUCGUAAAGCUCUUUCGCCUGUGAUGAUAAUGACAGUAGCAGGUAAAGAAACCCCGGCUAACUCCGUGCCAGCAGCCGCGGUAAUACGGAGGGGGUUAGCGUUGUUCGGAAUUACUGGGCGUAAAGCGCGCGUAGGCGGAUUGGAAAGUUGGGGGUGAAAUCCCGGGGCUCAACCCCGGAACUGCCUUCAAAACUCCCAGUCUAGAGUUCGAGAGAGGUGAGUGGAAUUCCGAGUGUAGAGGUGAAAUUCGUAGAUAUUCGGAAGAACACCAGUGGCGAAGGCGGCUCACUGGCUCGAUACUGACGCUGAGGUGCGAAAGUGUGGGGAGCAAACAGGAUU